Molecule: ribosomal RNA, 516 nt
Filed under: uncultured Thiomicrospira sp.
Lineage: Bacteria; Pseudomonadati; Pseudomonadota; Gammaproteobacteria; Thiotrichales; Piscirickettsiaceae
Description: bacterial SSU rRNA
Rfam family: Bacterial small subunit ribosomal RNA
Source: RNAcentral
UACCGCGUGUGUGAAGAAGGCCCGAGGGUUGUAAAGCACUUUCAAUUGUGAGGAAGAUAGUGUCGCUAAUAUCGGCAUUGUUUGACGUUAACUUUAGAAGAAGCACCGGCUAACUCUGUGCCAGCAGCCGCGGUAAUACAGAGGGUGCAAGCGUUAUUCGGAAUUACUGGGCGUAAAGCGCGCGUAGGCGGGCUAUUAAGUCAGUUGUGAAAGCCCUGGGCUCAACCUGGGAACUGCAUCUGAUACUGGUAGUCUAGAGUUUAAGAGAGGGAAGUGGAAUUCCAGGUGUAGCAGUGAAAUGCGUAGAUAUCUGGAGGAACAUCAGUGGCGAAGGCGACUUCCUGGCUUAAAACUGACGCUGAGGUGCGAAAGCGUGGGUAGCGAACGGGAUUAGAUACCCCGGUAGUCCACGCCGUAAACGAUGUCAACUAGUUGUUGGUCUUAUUAAAAAGAUUAGUAACGAAGCUAACGCGAUAAGUUGACCGCCUGGGGAGUACGGUCGCAAGAUUAAAACUC